AUUGAACGCUGGCGGCAGGCCUAACACAUGCAAGUCGAGCGGCAGCGGGAAAGUAGCUUGCUACUUUUGCCGGCGAGCGGCGGACGGGUGAGUAAUGCCUGGGGAUCUGCCCAGUCGAGGGGGAUAACUACUGGAAACGGUAGCUAAUACCGCAUACGCCCUACGGGGAAAGCAGGGGACCUUCGGGCCUUGCGCGAUUGGAUGAACCCAGGUGGGAUUAGCUAGUUGGUGAGGUAAUGGCUCACCAAAGCGACGAUCCCUAGCUGGUCUGAGAGGAUGAUCAGCCACACUGGAACUGAGACACGGUCCAGACUCCUACGGGAGGCAGCAGUGGGGAAUAUUGCACAAUGGGGGAAACCCUGAUGCAGCCAUGCCGCGUGUGUGAAGAAGGCCUUCGGGUUGUAAAGCACUUUCAGCGAGGAGGAAAGGUUGGUAGCUAAUAACUGCCAGCUGUGACGUUACUCGCAGAAGAAGCACCGGCUAACUCCGUGCCAGCCGCCGCCGUAA
This 507-nucleotide ribosomal RNA is filed under the name uncultured bacterium. RNAcentral's name for it is "partial 16S ribosomal RNA". It matches the Rfam family "Bacterial small subunit ribosomal RNA", at positions 30 to 523 of the family's 1533-position model. The record is from RNAcentral.